This 144-nucleotide unclassified non-coding RNA is filed under the name soil metagenome. Its description in RNAcentral is "partial internal transcribed spacer 1". The record is from RNAcentral.
UAAUAAGUGUUUUAUGGCACUUUUUAAAUCCAUAUCCACCUUGUGUGCAAUGUCAGUCGAUCUUCUUCAUGGAGAUCGACCAAACAUAACCUUUAUCUUUUAACUCUUUGUCUGAAAAAUAUUAUGAAUAAACAAUUCAAAAUA